RNAcentral lists this non-coding RNA (89 nucleotides) under Aggregatibacter aphrophilus. Its description in RNAcentral is "Aggregatibacter sRNA 22". It matches the Rfam family "Aggregatibacter sRNA 22". Lineage: Bacteria; Pseudomonadati; Pseudomonadota; Gammaproteobacteria; Pasteurellales; Pasteurellaceae. The record is from RNAcentral.
UGCGGUCACAAAAAAUAUAUUUUUGAGAAUGGGUUUUGCCAACAGCCCCCGAGGGGCGAAUAAAUCACAUAAGCGAUUUAUGCAUCAUU